This 253-nucleotide ribosomal RNA is filed under the name uncultured bacterium. Its description in RNAcentral is "partial 16S ribosomal RNA". It matches the Rfam family "Bacterial small subunit ribosomal RNA", at positions 524 to 776 of the family's 1533-position model. The record is from RNAcentral.
UACGUAGGGCGCAAGCGUUAUCCGGAAUUAUUGGGCGUAAAGAGCUCGUAGGCGGUUUGUCGCGUCUGCCGUGAAAGUCCGGGGCUCAACUCCGGAUCUGCGGUGGGUACGGGCAGACUAGAGUGAUGUAGGGGAGACUGGAAUUCCUGGUGUAGCGGUGAAAUGCGUAGAUAUCAGGAGGAACACCGAUGGCGAAGGCAGGUCUCUGGGCCACUACUGACGCUGAGAAGCGAAAGCAUGGGGAGCGAACAGG